This is a long non-coding RNA of Megalops cyprinoides (Indo-Pacific tarpon), 330 nucleotides long. RefSeq lists it as uncharacterized. The record is from RefSeq and is a predicted model, not a curated record. The transcript is spliced from 3 exons. NCBI's taxonomy places the organism in Eukaryota, Metazoa, Chordata, Actinopteri, Elopiformes, Megalopidae.
GCCGCGUCAAGGUUGAGGAGUGACCGAGCAAGGCGGAGGAGAGCAUAUAAACUCAUCCAACACAAGCUGUUUCAGUAUAAGGUGGGCUGCAGCGCUGAUGAAAGGGUGCGCCCCACGUACAUCUACCCCCCAGUGCUGAAGCAGCUGGUCAGGGCUGUGUUCCCAGAAGAGGUGUGUGACUACACUGAUCCCAGCCACUCAACGGUGGUGCUGGUCACGAUGGAAGAUCUCAGCACUGUCAGCUUGCUUGAGCAAUGCAGGCCAUAAUGCAGCUGACAGAGAUACUGAAAUGUUAACGACUUAUAAUUGUUACAUAUGACUCAACAGGUA